RNAcentral lists this non-coding RNA (21 nucleotides) under Arabidopsis thaliana (thale cress). The record is from RNAcentral. Lineage: Eukaryota; Viridiplantae; Streptophyta; Magnoliopsida; Brassicales; Brassicaceae.
UCCGUGCUGAUUGUCUUGGUA